GAUGAGCGCUGGCGGCGUGCCUAAUACAUGCAAGUCGAGCGAACAGACGAGGAGCUUGCUCCUCUGACGUUAGCGGCGGACGGGUGAGUAACACGUGGAUAACCUACCUAUAAGACUGGGAUAACUUCGGGAAACCGGAGCUAAUACCGGAUAAUAUAUUGAACCGCAUGGUUCAAUAGUGAAAGACGGUUUUGCUGUCACUUAUAGAUGGAUCCGCGCCGCAUUAGCUAGUCGGUAAGGUAACGGCUUACCAAGGCGACGAUGCGUAGCCGACCUGAGAGGGUGAUCGGCCACACUGGAACUGAGACACGGUCCAGACUCCUACGGGAGGCAGCAGUAGGGAAUCUUCCGCAAUGGGCGAAAGCCUGACGGAGCAACGCCGCGUGAGUGAUGAAGGUCUUCGGAUCGUAAAACUCUGUUAUUAGGGAAGAACAAAUGUGUAAGUAACUAUGCACGUCUUGACGGUACCUAAUCAGAAAGCCACGGCUAACUACGUG
Molecule: ribosomal RNA, 497 nt
Filed under: uncultured bacterium
Lineage: Bacteria
Description: partial 16S ribosomal RNA
Rfam family: Bacterial small subunit ribosomal RNA
Source: RNAcentral